Non-coding RNA from Dermacentor albipictus, 2771 nucleotides. The record is from RefSeq and is a predicted model, not a curated record. Lineage: Eukaryota; Metazoa; Arthropoda; Arachnida; Ixodida; Ixodidae.
GCCGGUUCGAACCUAUUUACAACGUGGCCAAAGGGAAACCUCCGUGGGACACUAUUCUCGAGCACCCUAGGUAUCCUGAAGUUACGGUGACGUGGGCAGUUGCUGUCUGAGUGGGCGCGCAGACAAAAUGUUUUUGAGGCUUGGAGCAGGAACGGAACCAGGAAGUUGAAGUUGCAUCGCAAGUACCCCUGCGAAGACACAGAAGGACGGUGUUCUUGCUUCGGGAAUGGACGACGGAUGGUCUGCCUGCGUCGUAGCACUCGAAAACGGUUGACGUGCCUGGUCUAUCUACCGCAUGGAUCGCAAGUUCUGAGACGUCAUCAACCCACCGGACACCUGACUCCUGCACAUGCUCAGCUGGCAUCGUUCAACGAGGGUCCAGCGCCGACCAAUCAAAGCAUCACAAGAAGAACUGGAAACUGUAAAACCGAGCGCUCCCCCACGAUCGGCUGCAGUCCGGCGGAGCGUGUGAACCUGUCAUAAUCUCUUUUUCUUCUUGUUAGGUGCGCGAUUCCUGCUGAGCUGGCUGUGAAGAAGCGCAAGUUGGUUCCCUCUUUUCGUGUCAGCGACUGAUCUUGCCACGUGUGUCAAGGCGAUGCAGUCAGCACCAGCAAAAACGGGCAUCUCAUUCGCGAUGCUCGCAUCAUCAGUCUGCUCGUCGUCGGCCUGCUCCUGCUUGGAUAAAAGAGCCUUCAACAGAAUUUCAGCGUCACAGGAGCAGCUGUUGCGGUUGGAAGCACAGCUCUGAGCAUUGUGCCCACAUCGUACAGAUUGGUUGGUUUAUGUCACUGUUAGGUUACUUCUGUGCGAAUUCUUUACCACAACUUCUGCUGCUGCUGUUUAGGUUUCUUGUCUGUGCAUGCUCCGUCUUGCGUAGAAUUUGUUGUAUCGCUUCUUGACGAUGCCUACAAAUACUAAACUGGCAAGGAAAAUUGAAUUGCUUGAAUUAAAAUUUGAACAUCGCAUUUACCAGCUUGCCGACCAAGUUUUUGUAAAUGUUACUCAUGCUUCAGGAAUCAGGUUUAGAUGUCGGUAAGCUAAACGCAGAAGUUUGAAGAAUGGAUGACAGUAUGAAACUGCUGAAUGACAUUGCAGAAAGUAUUCGAUCAUAGAAAGAGAAUACUAGGCUGGUCUUGGAUGCCACAGAAGUUCGAAUACAACGUCCCUCUUCUCUUCAUGCCCAGCGGCAAACGUUUUCAACGUACAAGCACUAUAAUACUUAUAAAGUACUAAUAGGGUGCACACCAGAUGGCUAUAUUAGCUAUGCUUCACGACUUUGGGGUUAGGAUCAGUGUCGGACAAGGCAAUUCUGCAGAGCUGUGGGCUUCUUGAUAGAAAACAGCCUGCGAAUGCUAUAAUGGUCGACAAAGGUUUUAUAUUCCAUUAUUUACCCCAGGGAAUAACUAUCUGCAGGCCACCAUUCCGUGAGCCAAAGCAGGCAGAGAUGCAGCCUCAAGCAGUGGAAAAAACUCGUCGCAUUGCAUGUGCAAGGGUGCAUGUUCAGCGGGCUGUUGGACGCAUCAAAAGCUUCCACAUUCUUGAUGGGGCAUUUCCAAUUUCUGUGAUUGACAUAGCAGAACAAGUUUUCAGAGUGUGUUGCUUCUUAAGCAACUUUAAGGCGCCAUUAAUAAAAAGUGUAAACUAAAUUUUAGUAAACGUACCUGGAGAAAAAGUAGAAUGUUGUAGCUGCUCCAUAGUAGUCAGCUUUUUAUAGAAUUUGUUUGUCCUGUUUUAGUUAAUCCUGACAAAUUUUCUGUAUUUAGCACAAUAAUAAAAACUUCUAGCCCUUGUCAUCACUCUUUAAGUCACUUGGUAUUUGCACACAUUUAUUAGGAAUGCAGCACUGACCACUAGCAGGUUCUGCCAGACCUCUUUUGGAGACAACUUUAGUUUUCUUACUUUCAUUCGUAACAUGUCUUGAGGUUCGCACACAUAAAAUCCUUUCUUCAGCAUCUUGUGUGAUACAUACUGGCCUGAAGUGUGCUGCUUCUCUAGUAGCUUUACACACCCUAUGAGAAGCUCUGGCACAAGUGCAUGAUUCAUAAAAUGGAGUAGUUUUUACAUAUAUUGCAUCCCUCUCCUCUUGACAAAGGGGCUUCAUUUAUGCCAUGUGUGCAUUAAACGAUGCCAAUGCUCUGAUUCCCCAUACGUUUUCGUUGUAUGAAGCUCUGGCACAAGUGCAUGAUUCAUAAAAUGGAGUAGUUUUUACAUAUAUUGCAUCCCUCUCCUCUUGACAAAGGGGCUUCAUUUAUGCCAUGUGUGCAUUAAACGAUGCCAAUGCUCUGAUUCCCCAUACGUUUUCGUUGUAUUGAAUCAAGACCUCGGAUGGUGGUCCUUGAACUCUUUGUGGCUUCUUAUCUGCUGGUUUCAUGUGCCGCAGUACUUGAAGUGCUGGGUAGUAGGCCAACAGGUUCUCCUUUAAUGAUAUGAUGUCAUCUUGAUGAUGUGGCGGUAAAGCAGAACUGCACGGCUUUAACUUCCUCUCUUGAUGGAGUGCUCUGUUUAUUCGAUGAUUCUGAAACACGAUCUCCUUCAGUGGCACCUUUGGCACUGGCCUCUUUGCUGCAUUAGAGGAAACAUGCAUAGUUCUGCAAAAAACAGUUUGUUUUCUCAUGUUUUACUGCUGCACACAAACAAAUACGAAACCACUGUUGCUUUUGGUUGCUUCAAAAAACUGAACUUUAGCAUGUUUGCAGUGCAAAACAAAGAGGAACACGUCUAAUACGUACAAAAUGUUCAUAUUCGCCAGCCAGAAAGUUCAAAAUGUCUUA